AUUGAACGCUGGCGGCAUGCUUUACACAUGCAAGUCGAACGGCAGCGCGGGCUUCGGCCUGGCGGCGAGUGGCGAACGGGUGAGUAAUACAUCGGAACGUGCCCAGUAGUGGGGGAUAGCUCGGCGAAAGCCGGAUUAAUACCGCAUACGACCUGAGGGUGAAAGCGGGGGAUCUUCGGACCUCGCGCCAUUGGAGCGGCCGAUGGCAGAUUAGCUAGUUGGUGGGGUAAAGGCCUACCAAGGCGACGAUCUGUAGCUGGUCUGAGAGGACGACCAGCCACACUGGGACUGAGACACGGCCCAGACUCCUACGGGAGGCCGCAGUGGGGAAUUUUGGACAAUGGGCGAAAGCCUGAUCCAGCAAUGCCGCGUGUGUGAUGAAGGCCUUCGGGUUGUAAAGCACUUUUGGCGGGAACGAAAAGGACUGUGCCAAUACCACGGUUCGAUGACGGUACCCGCAGAAUAAGCACCGGCUAACUACGUG
Molecule: ribosomal RNA, 484 nt
Filed under: uncultured bacterium
Lineage: Bacteria
Description: partial 16S ribosomal RNA
Rfam family: Bacterial small subunit ribosomal RNA
Source: RNAcentral